UGGAAUUCUAAAAUUCACCAGGUGGUC
This 27-nucleotide non-coding RNA is filed under the name Homo sapiens (human). Lineage: Eukaryota; Metazoa; Chordata; Mammalia; Primates; Hominidae. The record is from RNAcentral.